GCUCUUAUGGUGUAAUGGUUAGCACUCUGGACUUUGAAUCCAGCGAUUCGGGUUCAAAUCCCGGUAGGAGCU
RNAcentral lists this transfer RNA (72 nucleotides) under Phytophthora infestans (potato late blight agent). RNAcentral's name for it is "tRNA-Gln". It matches the Rfam family "tRNA". Rfam says of the family: Transfer RNA (tRNA) molecules are approximately 80 nucleotides in length. The record is from RNAcentral. Lineage: Eukaryota; Oomycota; Peronosporomycetes; Peronosporales; Peronosporaceae. RNAcentral also lists the same sequence under 1 other name.